UGCGUAGGUGGGUGAAUAAGUCAGUGGUGAAAGCUCCGAGCUUAACUCGGGAACUGCCAUUGAUACUGUUUACCUUGAAUAUAGUGGGAGGUUGGCGGAAUGUGUCAUGUAGCGGUGAAAUGCUUAGAUAUGACACAGAACACCGAUUGCGAAGGCAGCUGGCUACACUAUUAUUGACACUGAGGCACGAAAGCGUGGGGAUCAAACA
RNAcentral lists this ribosomal RNA (208 nucleotides) under uncultured bacterium. RNAcentral describes it as "partial 16S ribosomal RNA". It matches the Rfam family "Bacterial small subunit ribosomal RNA", at positions 568 to 774 of the family's 1533-position model. The record is from RNAcentral.